Molecule: transfer RNA, 114 nt
Filed under: Penicillium salamii
Lineage: Eukaryota; Fungi; Ascomycota; Eurotiomycetes; Eurotiales; Aspergillaceae
Description: tRNA-Tyr
Rfam family: tRNA (bases 18-113)
About the family: Transfer RNA (tRNA) molecules are approximately 80 nucleotides in length.
Source: RNAcentral
GCCCACCCCAUCGUCUCCCUCUUAUAGCUCAGCUGGAAGAGCGCAAGACUGUAAUUGUUUCAAGAAGAAAUUCUGAUAUCUUGAGGUCCGCGGUUCGAUCCCGCGUGAGAGGAU